RNAcentral lists this transfer RNA (72 nucleotides) under Elusimicrobiota bacterium. RNAcentral's name for it is "Elusimicrobia bacterium (hot springs metagenome) tRNA-Gln". It matches the Rfam family "tRNA". From Rfam's summary of the family: Transfer RNA (tRNA) molecules are approximately 80 nucleotides in length. Their secondary structure includes four short double-helical elements and three loops (D, anti-codon, and T loops). Further hydrogen bonds mediate the characteristic L-shaped molecular structure. tRNAs have two regions of fundamental functional importance: the anti-codon, which is responsible for specific mRNA codon recognition, and the 3' end, to which the tRNAs corresponding amino acid is attached (by aminoacyl-tRNA synthetases). tRNAs cope with the degeneracy of the genetic code in two manners: having more than one tRNA (with a specific anti-codon) for a particular amino acid; and 'wobble' base-pairing, i.e. permitting non-standard base-pairing at the 3rd anti-codon position. The record is from RNAcentral. Lineage: Bacteria; Pseudomonadati; Elusimicrobiota.
UGCCGGGUGGUGCAAUGGUAGCACAUCUGGCUCUGGACCAGAGGAGUGGAGGUUCGAGUCCUCCCCCGGCAG